Molecule: ribosomal RNA, 503 nt
Filed under: Solenocera crassicornis
Lineage: Eukaryota; Metazoa; Arthropoda; Malacostraca; Decapoda; Solenoceridae
Description: partial 12S ribosomal RNA
Rfam family: Microsporidia small subunit ribosomal RNA (bases 137-503)
Source: RNAcentral
UUGUUAAUAAAGGGUGAAAUCGGUUUUUUAAGAUAAGAAGUGUUGAAGAUGUAAAGCUUAAAUUGAGGUUGUUAAGUUAAAGGUAUGGACCAGGAUUAGAUACCCUGUUACACUUUAUUUAAAAUUUAUGGUACCUGGGUAAUAAACAGUUAUUGUCUUGAAACUCAAAGGAUUUGGCGGUAAUUUAGUCUAUUUAGAGGAACCUGUCCUAUAAUCGAUAAACCACGAAGUAUCUUACCUUAUUUAGUAGAGAUCAGUUUGUAUACCGUCAUUAUUAGAUAACUUUAAUAAAAACUAGUUGUUGUAAUAAUUUUUAAUAUAUUAGAUCAAGGUGCAGCCAAUAAUAAGGUAGAGAUGGGUUACAAUAAAAUAAAUGUAUAACGGAUUAAUAAAUGAAAUUUUUUUUAUGAAGGUGGAUUUAAUAGUAAGAAUGAUUUAAUAAGUCAUUUUGAUUAUAGCUCUAGAUUAUGUACACAUCGCCCGUCGCUCUCGUUAAUUAAAGC